CAUCUGCUAUACGAUUUUUGCUCAAAGCAAAUACAUAGAAAUAUUAUAGAGGCCUCAAGCAUCGACUGGUGAAUAUUUCUCGAAAGUCGUUGUUGCUUAUCAGAGAGCGAUCUGCGUUUACUAUUCUCUGUCGUACUUCGCUGAUCCUAUCUUACCAAUCCUAUGGACUUGUAGCGCCUGAAGUAAAACCAGCCGAUAAGUAUAAUACAUCCGGGCUUGGGAUCCCCUGUGGAUUGGUGAAAGCAACGAGCAGACAGUGAACUAGAGACCAAAGUCCUCCAUAUCAAUGAUGCGAUAUCCAGAACAAUGUGAUAAUCUAUGUAUGUACAGAGUUGAGUCAAGACGUUCCUAUUGCCUUCGGCAGGGUAAGGCUAUAUGCGUCAAAUUUACCGAGCGCUACCGUUAAAAAGGCACCGACUUUAGGACUUCUCGUGCACUAGAUUCACCAUAGCUGCUCGGAAUAUAUAAGGCACUUGGACACGUUCGAUAGACAGCCUAAAAAUUCGUCGCAGAGAGAUACAGAUUGAGGCGUCGAGUCUUUUAGGUAACCAGAUGUAAGUGUAUCAGUAUGAAGAGGAGAGCAAAGCGCAACCUUCCCAGUAUCGGCUCGUAAAAACAAACACCGACCGAAUGGAUUCGUACCAUCCAAGUACAAAACCAAGAGAUUUGUCACGGCGACCGCUGAGGAAUUGUUCUUCAUAAGUUCGUGUCGUGCGGCUUCAUGGUCAUCAAGAACUGCUAUCAAGAAGUUCUAAAAUGAUUACGCAAAUCUGUCCGACGCAAGAGAACAAAACUGUGGCACCACAAAGUAUGGGUUCUCCAUUUCGACAACACACUGGCAUACGCCUUGUUACUGAUACAACAAUUCUUGAGAAAAACUUGGUGUAUGUAUUGCUUCAGUCUCCGGAUUCACUGAACUCCCCUAGUCUGAAACCUAAAGGGAAAGCAGAAGAGAUAAAACGAAAAUUACUGACCAAUCUGAGGGACUAUUCCGGCGAUUAGGUUUUUUGGAUUGGAAAGCAUAACUGUGUUACGUUCGGCAGGGAGUACUUCGAAAGCAACAACUU
Molecule: long non-coding RNA, 1067 nt
Organism: Varroa destructor (honeybee mite)
Lineage: Eukaryota; Metazoa; Arthropoda; Arachnida; Mesostigmata; Varroidae
Source: RefSeq, a predicted model, not a curated record